This 916-nucleotide ribosomal RNA is filed under the name uncultured bacterium. RNAcentral describes it as "bacterial SSU rRNA". It matches the Rfam family "Bacterial small subunit ribosomal RNA", at positions 33 to 939 of the family's 1533-position model. The record is from RNAcentral.
ACGCUAGCGAUAGGCUUAACACAUGCAAGUCGAGGGGCAGCAUGAUCUUAGCUUGCUAAGGUUGAUGGCGACCGGCGCACGGGUGCGUAACGCGUAUGCAACUUGCCUUACAGAGGGGGAUAACCCGUUGAAAGACGGACUAAAACCGCAUACACUUGUAUUAUUGCAUGAUAUUACAAGGAAAUAAUUAUAGCUGUAAGAUAGGCAUGCGUCCCAUUAGCUGGUUGGUGAGGUAACGGCUCACCAAGGCGACGAUGGGUAGGGGAACUGAGAGGUUUAUCCCCCACACUGGUACUGAGACACGGACCAGACUCCUACGGGAGGCAGCAGUGAGGAAUAUUGGUCAAUGGGCGAGAGCCUGAACCAGCCAAGUCGCGUGAAGGAAGACAGUCCUAAGGAUUGUAAACUUCUUUUAUACGGGAAUAACGGGCGAUACGAGUAUUGCAUUGAAUGUACCGUAAGAAUAAGCAUCGGCUAACUCCGUGCCAGCAGCCGCGGUAAUACGGAGGAUGCGAGCGUUAUCCGGAUUUAUUGGGUUUAAAGGGUGCGUAGGUUGUUCGGUAAGUCAGCGGUGAAACCUGAGCGCUCAACGUUCAGCCUGCCGUUGAAACUGCCGGGCUUGAGUUCAGUGGCGGCAGGCGGAAUUCGUGGUGUAGCGGUGAAAUGCAUAGAUAUCACGAGGAACUCCGAUUGCGAAGGCAGCUUGCCAUACUGCGACUGACACUGAAGCACGAAGGCGUGGGUAUCAAACAGGAUUAGAUACCCUGGUAGUCCACGCAGUAAACGAUGAUUACUAGGGGUUUGCGAUAUACCGUCAAGCUUCCACAGCGAAAGCGUUAAGUAAUACACCUGGGGAGUACGCCGGCAACGGUGAAACUCAAAGGAAUUGACGGGGGCCCGCACAAGCGGAGGAACA